GAGGGUAUAGCUCAAGUGGUAGAGCGCAUGUUUAGCAUGCAGGAGUUCCUGGGUUCAAUUCGCAAUACCUUUA
RNAcentral lists this transfer RNA (73 nucleotides) under Camelus ferus (Wild Bactrian camel). It matches the Rfam family "tRNA". Rfam says of the family: Transfer RNA (tRNA) molecules are approximately 80 nucleotides in length. Their secondary structure includes four short double-helical elements and three loops (D, anti-codon, and T loops). Lineage: Eukaryota; Metazoa; Chordata; Mammalia; Artiodactyla; Camelidae. The record is from Rfam by way of RNAcentral.